UCCUGAUGCUACUGGGUUGAUUGUGGAGCCAUUUGAGGCUUAUAUUUCUGACAACAGUGCGGUUAGCCCCUGAGGAAGACCAGUCGGUUGAAACAGCUGUCGGGCUGUGUUUGCUGUACUUCACCAUGCCGUUUGGUUAAGGAAUAAAUCCUGCUUUCCUCUCAUCUACAUUAUCCACCACAUUAGUUGGGCGGGCUCUGGAAGGUGGAGAGAUCAGAGCAGUCAGCCAAGACGUCACCGCCAGAGAAACAUUUCUUCUAAUAAAGCAGUUUCACGUGGGUUGAGCAGGAUGCUGGCAGGUGACCUGCUAUUCCAGGAGUCCAGGAGAACGCCAGAAAUCUGUAGAGCCUUCCGGACAUUUCAGGAGAGUAGAUGCCGACACUACAAGACCUUGGUGCUUCGUGACUAUUAGGAACUUGGAUAUAACAAAGAGGAUGGGCUGAAAUGUCUAUCAGGAGAAACAGAAUGCUAGGGAGCGCCUGAUACAUGUCACACGUAUAAAGGCCCCAUGCAGGUGCCAGGCGGUAUGGAGGGGCGUCUGUAUGCUGAACACGAGCCAUCUACAAUCUCUUCAAAGGAGCUGUGCAUCUAAGCAGCAGAAUUACAGAAUCCCUACAGGGCAGGAACAGCUCUCACACUGGGCGCAGUCACUCCAUACAUACUUACUAUGCUCCAGACCACCGCUUAACCCUGACCGUCAUUCCACAGGCCAAAAUGCACAAACGCUUGCUG
Molecule: long non-coding RNA, 732 nt
Organism: Pseudophryne corroboree (corroboree frog)
Lineage: Eukaryota; Metazoa; Chordata; Amphibia; Anura; Myobatrachidae
Exons: 4
Source: RefSeq, a predicted model, not a curated record